This 422-nucleotide ribosomal RNA is filed under the name Chlorella vulgaris. RNAcentral's name for it is "bacterial SSU rRNA". It matches the Rfam family "Bacterial small subunit ribosomal RNA", at positions 276 to 715 of the family's 1533-position model. Lineage: Eukaryota; Viridiplantae; Chlorophyta; Trebouxiophyceae; Chlorellales; Chlorellaceae. The record is from RNAcentral.
AUGAUCAGUAGCUGGUCUGAGAGGAUGAUCAGCCACACUGGGACUGAGACACGGCCCAGACUCCUACGGGAGGCAGCAGUGAGGAAUUUUCCGCAAUGGGCGACAGCCUGACGGAGCAAUGCCGCGUGAAGGACGAAGGCCUAUGGGUUGUAAACUUCUUUUCUCAGAGAAGAAUUCGACGGUAUCUGAGGAAUAAGCAUCGGCUAACUCUGUGCCAGCAGCCGCGGUAAGACAGAGGAUGCAAGCGUUAUCCGGAAUGAUUGGGCGUAAAGCGUCUGUAGGUGGCUUAAAAAGUCUCCUGUCAAAGAUCAGGGCUUAACCCUGGGCCGGCAGGAGAAACUCUUAGGCUAGAGUUUGGUAGGGGCAGAGGGAAUUCCCGGUGGAGCGGUGAAAUGCGUAGAGAUCGGGAGGAACACCAAAGC